Long non-coding RNA from Gallus gallus (chicken), 8753 nucleotides. RefSeq lists it as uncharacterized. The record is from RefSeq and is a predicted model, not a curated record. The transcript has 2 exons. Lineage: Eukaryota; Metazoa; Chordata; Aves; Galliformes; Phasianidae.
GUGCGUGGCGGUGUGCGCGGAACGGGCUCCGUGCGGGGGGGGACCGCGCAAAUCCCGUCAGAGCGCGGGCGCCGGCAGCGCGCAGUAGCCCGUCAGAGCCGCUCUGGGAACUGAGCGAGUCUGAAAAGUGCGAGGGGCUGAGAUGUAGAAGUAGCGCCGGGAUGCUGUGUGCCGCUCUGUGGGAGCUGUGAGGCAGUGCUCGGUGAAGUGAUUCCUUUUCCUCGCUGCUCGUGGCAGGUUGAGAGGGAAACCGAAGCCCCCGCCAACGGGAGCACCCGAAGCUCCGCUCGCUCCCGUUCUACGCGCCCACCUCAGCGCUGCACCGAACCAAGGCGAGGGCGCCGCGGGCAGUGCCUGGCCCGCUCCUGGGCCCGGUGGCCACAUAAUGCCUCCCCUGUUCCUCACAGUGGUCGUCCGUAAAGUUAAAAAUAGCGACUGGAAACGGUGUUGAAAAUCACUUGAAAGCAGCACAUGCUCAGAGUAUGGCUCCACCAAAUUUGCUUGGUUUAUGACGGUGCUAUUUUUAAAACGCGCCUCUCUGCUGUGUGAAAACAACUGCACAGAGACGUCUUCCCAACCGAAUGCGACCAGUUUCAGUUUACUCAGUUUUCAGCUGAGAGCAAACAGCCCCGCGGUGGUUCCUUACCUGGCAGCCCCGUGCUGAGCGCGUGUUGCUGAGUUGCGUCCCCACCCCGGCACCUUGGCACGGCACAGGAACUGCCCCUGCAUUCAGAGAUUGGAGUCCCCCAGGAGUCAGGACCGGGAGAAGCUCACCGUGACACGACCGGCAGCAGCCCCGCGGCUCCCCCUAGAAGCUUGUUUCAGUUUCUUGUUGAGCAGAAAUCAGAUUGCAGGGCUUCCGAGCAUAGAAAAUGCCUCAAGAGCGGCGUGGUGACAGGAUCAGGCAAUCACAGGAGCGCAGCCGUUCUUCAAAAAGCGUGUCACUGUGUCACGGCAGCAAGAGGGAACGCGCGUGGCAGCCUGGUUCAAUGGUGCAUUCCAAGAGAAAAGAAAACGCUCACAUCCCCCAUACGUACCUCCUUCUGAAGGAACAGAGCCAGGUUCUCUCGCCCUUUUGGGCAGACCUUCGGCCAGGCCUGUGGAAGAAACGGCUCGCUGCGGGUCGUGCCCAUGGGAAGGGUCCCCAGGCCUUUCUCGGUGCCAGAAGAAAGAGCUGUGGGCACCACCUUGACAAAGCAGGUGGAAACGAGGAGGUCACCAACAGUAAGACUUGGAGAGUUGGGGAAAGCGCUCAAAGGUGUGAGUCAGCCCUCACGAGGCAGGCGUUAACGCACAUGUGCGCUACUGCAGCAAAAGGCACAGACGAAAUACAUCGCUGCAUUGCUGCUAUGGAGGGAAAGUUUAGAAACUGACUCAUCCAUCGGCCUGUCCCCAAAGAGAAAGCCAUAACGCCCCCGGUUGCCAACACGCAACGUGAAGCGCCGUAGGAGAGCAAAGAGACGGCGAGGUGGAAGUCUCGGUGAUUAACCUUAUUGGUAAGAGCUCAUUAAAGUAUCCAGGAGAUGACAGGGAUGAAAAUUCCCUUGUAGUCACCCAGCCCUUUGUGUGCUGGCGAGCUGGGUAAUCCACAUGAUGCAGGCAGCCAUUUGGCUAGCAGAUUAGAAAGAAUUUGCAUUAAUGGCUGAGAAUUUCGACAGCAGUUGCCGAAAGGGGAUGUGCACUGACAGAGCCUGAACGCAAUGCUGCAUUCACCUCGCUAGGUAAGGCUUCGAGGUGGGGACACGGUGUGCACAGCCCAACGAGUCACUGGCUGGGACAGGCAUCGUGACGCAGAGAUAAGGUAAUGUGCUCUGCAAGAAGGGAGGUGCUGAGAUUACGAGGCAGAAUUUACAUGUGUUCUAAAACACCACUCUCACAAAAUGCAAAUGAUUCUUCGUCACAUGGAAAUACCAAGGAAGGUUAUUUAUCUGGAGGACUUUGAAGAACCAGCAUCUGUUUUACAAGGCAGCUAUAGUGAAAUGAAGAUCUUAAGCCCAGACCUGGUUGUUCAGAAGGCAGGAUGAUAUCUGACAGUGCCAAGUCCCCAGAUGUGACUCCUUCCUAAAAACUGUUGAUGAAGGAACCUGCGGUUCCCAAGGAAGUUCUGUACUGAUGUAUCCAACUCCUGGCGCCUUCUUAUUCCACAGCCUUUUACUUUUCUCUCUACGAAACUGCAAUGGGAGCUGGAGCUCCCAGACCAGGAGCCCUGUGCCCCCCAGGCAGCCCCUGCACCGUGUUUGGGGUGCAGCCUAAAGCACUGCAUUUUGUCCUGCAGUGGGGGAGAAGCAUCUCCUCAAUUGCACAACCCCUAGACACACUCACGCUUCAUUCCUCUCUGGGUAUUACUGCAGAGAAGUGGAGAAGAAGUAAAAAAAGUGGUUUCUCUUUCUUUCACAACUGAAAGUUUUACUCAAAGCUUCUCAGAAAUUGGGCAGCAAUGGAAGAACAGGAGGCUGAGGGGGCUAAGGGCACAGAUGAUAAUGAUGUACCAUACGCUAAAGGAAAACAAAAUCCCUUUCUCUAGAAGAAAUUGCUCACCGAUGUACCGCAGGCUGACAUGCUGCACGCACCCAGACCUCGGUUAGUGGCAGGAAGUGGCAGGCUCAUACCAGAGCAAACUGUGAGCAUCUCAGGGCAUCAGGAGCGUGGUGCUGCACGGAGCCACCCUGUGGCACCAGCAAGCUAAGGGAGCAAGGGCCGUCAGGGGACAGACACGGUGGUGGCUUUUUGCUCAUGUUGAAAGCCAGGCAGGCAGGAGUGGGACGGGCUGGCACCGGCCCAGCAGCCACAGCUACAUGGGGAGAUCAUCAGCUGGGGAACGGGCACUAUGUGCCACUCACCCCUGGACAUGAGCCUCACACCAGGAGUCCUGCAACAGCAAGCCGCAUCACUCUCACAAUUCGCUCUGCUCUCUGUGACUUUUCUGGCAUAGCAACAACAUCAGCUGGGAUGCAGCAUCUCAUGUGCUCCAACUACAGAGGUGAUAAUCCUGCUCUCCUUCUCCAAUAGGCUUAAUGUUGUCAGAAGCAAGAUUUCCUCUUUGCUUUCCAUGUGAACUCUAAGGUCUAACACAUCAGUCACCUCGGCUCGCUGUCUCUGACCACCUCUGGAGGCAGGAGGGGAUUCCACGGGAGCUGCUCUCCCAAGCCAUGUGCUCAUGGGCCGUGCCACUCUGCCAUCACGGCCAGCUCUGUUCUCAGCGUGGUAAAGGCUCCCACUUCCAUCUCUGCUGGCUCAGAACACACCUCGUCUUAUAUGGUCCAGUCCGCUCCCUGCUCACUAACCUUCCAGAAAGAAGACGGCGAGGAUCUGGGGAGACCAUCUGGUCACAGCAGCCACACAGAGAUAGGAUCAGUGGUCAGACAAUCCUCAGCAGACGUUUGUGUAACCCGUUCCUGGAAGCCUUCAAGGAAGGAGAUACCCCAACUUCCCAAGCUGCUUCUUCAGGCAUUUCACUGGGCCAAUCUAAAAGUUACUGUUGCAUCCCCUCCCACUCUCCUAACAUUCCACCUAAACCAUCCUCCCAUCCCUCCCAUACCCAAUCUGAAGUAUUUUCCCUCUAUACAGAUUAGUUUAACUCAACUUUCCCCCGGCACUCAAAGACCUCUUCUUGCCUUUUGCACACUGGGAGAAUUUAUCCAAAUCCCUCUAACACUCGGCAUACUUAUUUCCUUCACCACGUACUUUUAUUCUCUACAACACUUACUUCUUUUUGCCCUGAACUGUACGUAGUUCUCAUGAGAGAAGACUAAACCAAAGGCAGUGCUACAGCUGAGGCCUCGCCAGCACUUGUGGAGUCAUCCCUACAUCUCACUCUGUGACUUACAUAUGCCACCUAUUGAUAAAUCCUAAGAGAGCAUUGGAUUUUGCAAAAGCAAAAUUGUUGUCAGUUGCUGUUUAGUUAGUGAUUCUCUGCGCACGCACGUAACCAUCCAGCUUGCUUUCUGCAAGAAAUUGAUGAUUGUUUUAAUGGAAUUUCACUUUUCCGCUGUUCAUUUUGAUUUCUGAGCUGAACGUCCACAGCAGUCACCAUCCGCCCAGCUUGGUGACAUUUCAUAAACACGCUCUGCGUUACAGCAGUCCAUAUUAUUCUUUGUGUUUUCUCACACUGCACUUAUCACAGUAGUAUGGCAGUGCCUUACAGCAGAGCAAUCCGUGACAUCUCUUCUGUCUCCUUCCCUCCCUAUCUUGUCCCUUCCCUCUCGAGAAGGGUGGGCAUGGAAAUACUGUUUCAGAAAGUUAUCAGACAGAUGUAAAAGCACCGUUCGUACACUUGUAAGGAGGAGACAAAAUAAAUUGUUCCACCCCUUGUUUCAGACUCGUCCCUGAGAAUAGCGUCUCAUACGCAGUUAUGUUUGAAGUUUAUCACAGUUCUGCUGCGAGGGGGUAGCAAAGUUGUCAGCUGUGAUCUCCACUCCACUGGCACAGGAUGGGCUCAAACUGAAUAUGAAUCAGCAUCAUACGGAGGACAGGGAUAACAUGCACACACCACAGCCCGCAUCAGUUACAGUGGGCACUGGGAUGUCCAAGCUGUGAGAUAAAUUCGGCAAAUAUAUGAGGACUGAAGCUUACUUUUUCAUACCUUCUUACAGCCUGGCCAUGUGCAUGUCCCUUGCACAGCACUUUGUUGAAAGAAAAAGAAACUACCUGGCUUUGAUCAUCAAGGGACAUAAAACUAUGCACUGCUCAUUGUACUUUGCAAAUAUUAAAACUUAAAGCUGAAUUUAAUAAAAUACACUCUGAUAAUACCUCAUAGCUGAAAUGUUGCAUUGGAUUUCAUGAGAUGCACUUGUCAUUCUAGCUGACAUUACCUGAAAGUAGAGGUGUUUUGCACCUGUAAGCACUAACCAUAAAGAAAUAAAUCCAGAGUCACAGGUCAGCAUGUAAAGCACUGUACCCUUCCAAUGUCUCACUUUGCGUCCCUCCAUUCUGCUUCUUUUCUGUUUCUGUCGUGAAUCCAAAACUUGUUCUGUGUUUAAACACCUCAGCUCUGCAGCACUGAGAGAACUCCCCUGGAAACCAGCCAGAAAUUCACCUUUUACAUGUGUGCUUGUUUAUACUUUGUGUAUUACCAGAAACUUACACAAUCAUCAUACUGCUUGUGGGUUCUCAGCAGAUGGACAGAAACUGCUGAAAUGCUAAGGCAACCAGACCUCAUGUCUUCAUCCUGUGGUUGCAGAAGAAGGAGGAGAUGUGCAUUGCAUGGGUAAUGCCACAGGUCACAUUUGGUGAGCUGCGCAGUAUCACUGCACCGGAUGACACAACUUGUAAGCGACGGACCAAUUGCUUUCUCUCUUAAAAAUUACAAGCCAGAAUAUGCUGUAUAUUUAGCACUGAGAGCACGGAAGACACCAUUACUUCUGAGCAGGCAGGAUUUUACUUGAAGUUCUCAUACAACUUAUUAGAAAAGUAGUGGCUGGAAGAUAGAGGCAACAAGAUACAACAUCAGCACUACUAAUCGUUGUUACAUCUUUAGCGUAGGAAGUUACCAGCAGAAAUUCUGAGCCAGGACACUGCACAUCCUCUCCGUUUUUGGUUUUUUUUUUUUGUAUUUGAUACAUAAUCUACCACUCUCUACUUCCACCAUGAGGUCUGUAGGAAAACAAAUGUUUACAAGGAAGAUAAAAAGUUCAAACAAGAUGCCAUCUGUAUUCGCACCAACUUCCUAGAAACCAGCUUUAAUGACACAGAGAAGCUGCUAGAGAUAGGCUUAAUUUUUUGUUACAUUUGUUUUGUACGUUCAAGAUCAUUUGAUGUGCUGUGUUAUAUACAAGAAAAUUCCCUGCAACACCUGUAUGUUAGUGAGCUUGGAGAAGAGAAAUCUCUGGGGAGAUCUCUUUGAGGUCUUCCAGUACUUGAAGGGAGCAUAUAAACAGGAGAGGGAACGGCUGUUUACAAGGGUGGACAGUGAUAGGACAAGGGGGAACAGUUUUAAACUGAGACAGGGGAUGUUUAGGUCAGAUAUUAGGAGGAAGUUUUUCACACAGAGGGUGGUGACACACUGGAACAGGUUGCCCAAGGAGGCUGUGGAUGCCCCAUCCCUGGAGGCAUUCAAGGCCAGGCUGGAUGUGGCUCUGGACAGCCUGGUCUGGUGGUUGGUGACCCUGCACAUAGCAGGGGGGUUGAAACUUGAUGAUCAUUGUGGUCUUUUUCAACCCAGGCCGUUCUGUCAUUCAUUCUAUGAGCUCAGGUAAAGGCAAAUGUGGUAUCCCAGCCAGGUGGCCAUGGCUUUCUCACACUUGCAGCUCGGUCUCAGUUCUUGGGGCUGCAAUGAAUGGGGAUUGCAGCAGAGCAGAGGGAGGAGCAGAAGGCCUGCUUCCACCUGGAGCUGCUGUUCAUAAGCCUCCUGCUAUCAGACAGGCAAUCCCAGUGCUUACAGGGAUCGCCCAUGAGAGGCUUCCUGAUGAAGGCACAAAUACAUAGCUUAUUCUUGAUCUUGAGAAAGGAAGAAAAAAAAAAGGGGGGGGGGGGGGGGAGCCUUCAGAGAAAUAAAGAAAGGAAUCAUAAUUAUUACAAAAUGCUUGAAAGGAUUUUUCUUUUACAAGUCUUUACAGGGGUUUAAGGCCAGCAGGCUGCAGAUUUCCCAGAGCAAGGAGAAGCAGUUAGAACAAGAAAAGGAUCAGUGUAGGUGGGCCUUGGGUCACUGUCAGGCAGAAAACAGUUACACUCAGAAUUUCUCCAGCACCAAAGACAGCCACACGUCAAAUGCUUUAUACUGCCCUAGGUCUUCUUUUUUAUUACUUUUUCAUGCAAAGGCACAACGGCAUCAUAAAAGUUACCAUCAAAGGCAGUAAGUCCUUAAACUUUCAUACCAAGCCUUAGAAACAAUUCUUUGAAACACACAGACCUCCAGUACACAAGGAAAAAGAAAAAAAAAAAAGUAGUGUAAAACUUACAGGCAGUAAGUAUUUAUUUUAAAUCCUUGCUGUUAUCUCUCCAAGUCGAAAUGCCAUAAAACUCCAAGAGCUGAAACUUCUGUGAGGAUUCAAAACGUAUCCCUUACCUCAUACGUUUUACUACACAUUCUUACCUCUUUUAAAAACGAAAUCCCAGAUUCUGUGCUCAGCAGAAGCGAGGCGAUUGCUUCACCAGGAUCAGAUAUGGCAAAGCAAAACAAACAAGUGAACCUGGGGCUGAGCGCUGUCCGCAUCGGUUCCAUCCGCAGCGCUCCACUCGGUGCCGCCCGGCAGUCACACACAUGGUAGUUUUUGCAAGAUCACGGCCUUGUUUUAGUAUAACACAAUCAAGAUAAUUUUUACAAGGUCAGAAAGUUGGAAUAAGAGGAAACAAAAUCCAGGCCGGUUGGGUCUGGAAUCAAUUAGGCCUAUGUGCUUCUCAGAUGCUGCCGCUUGUCUCGCCAUCAGGGAGUUUUCCAAUGCAUAAAUACUAUCGGCGCGUACCUAGAAACACACAACCUCUAUAUUUCUCCACUCGCUUACACCCACCUGAGCCGGGAUGUCGGGAGGAGAUGGAGAGGUGUUCAGCUGUGUGCAGUCACUCCAAGCUCUCAGGUGCCGUGCUCCAGAGCCCGCUGUCCCACCAUGCCCUCGUGGGCUCGGCCUGCCUGUGGGCGCAGCGCUCCCCAGGGCGCUCCCCAGGCCAAUGCCGCUUCACCUGCUGUCAACUCUGAGCACCUCCUCGAGUUUAAAGAUGCAGGCCAACGAGGCCACUUCAUGUCUGUAAGAUGAAACUGUGCUGCUCUCAGCUUUAUAGUUAGCAACAAACCGUCCAUGGAAAGCUUUCACGGAAGGUGACUUGAUGGGAAAUUACCAUUUUCUCCACAUUUUUCCCCUCUAUGAGAGGCCACUCUGGCUCACAGUGAGCAAAGUCAGUGUCAGUACAGAGCAUGUGCGGGGGGGUACGAUCCUGACAGUUUUUGGUACAUUCACAAGCAAAGCGUUGGACGAUUAACACCUUUACUCAUUAAAAUAUUUACAGACAUAGAAUUGGGCUGUCCAGCCACCUCAGGACCACAACAUUUAACUUCGCUGCUUCUGUUCCCACGCGAAGCCGAACUGCUGCCGGAGAUGGGCACCACGAAGCCCCGCACCUGGCCCGCUGCCGCCCGCGGUGCCGCCGGGAGGCGCCAUUUUGCGGCUGCUGGACGCGUGCCGAGGGGGCGGUGGGCAGCGCCGGGCCGAGCAGGUGGGCGCGGCGGGGCUCCCCGGAAGACUGCCCGGAGAGGAGGAGAAAGCCGGCCCGCUGCGGGGGUACCGGCGUCAGGUGCCUCGCACCGCCUCAGCGCCUGCCAGAGCCGCCGCCGAAUCAACGACCGCCUCCACGCGGCGCGGGGGGAGCAGAAGCGGCCCCGCCUCGCCGCCCCCAACGGCCGCUCCGUGCGCGACGUCACCCCGCGGCCGGGCUUCCCCCCGCCGCGCUGAUUGGGCGCGGCCGCCGGCCAAUGGGAGCGCCGCCCCCUCACGGCCGGCGUGGGCGAGGCCUCCCGCGGAGGGCCCGGUCUGCGUGGGGCCGCCCGUGCGGGAGGCGCGUCGUCGCCUCCCGCUGCCCCGUUUAACUCGAGCUCCCCGUAGACGUAUUUAUUUCUCUUUAAUAGGUGUUUAUGAUACGCGAGGCCGGACCUGUUCCUAAUCAAUUUGAGGUAAAUCAAAAUAAUGCGCAUUUAUACCGGCCCAGGCGUGCCGGCUCGGCGGGCCGCGCCUCCCUCCUGUGGACGGAGCGCCGGCGCUCGGCGGCAGGGCACGGCUGCCCCGCGGGGCACCUCGGAGCGGCGCUGUCGGGCCUCAGGGAGGGAA